Molecule: ribosomal RNA, 887 nt
Filed under: uncultured beta proteobacterium
Lineage: Bacteria; Pseudomonadati; Pseudomonadota; Betaproteobacteria
Description: bacterial SSU rRNA
Rfam family: Bacterial small subunit ribosomal RNA
Source: RNAcentral
AGAGUUUGAUCCUGGCUCAGAUUGAACGCUGGCGGCAUGCCUUACACAUGCAAGUCGAACGGUAACAGGUUAAGCUGACGAGUGGCGAACGGGUGAGUAAUAUAUCGGAACGUGCCCAGUCGUGGGGGAUAACGCAGCGAAAGCUGUGCUAAUACCGCAUACGAUCUAUGGAUGAAAGCGGGGGACUUGCAAGAGCCUCGCGCGAUUGGAGUGGCCGAUAUCAGAUUAGCUAGUUGGUGGGGUAAAAGCUCACCAAGGCGACGAUCUGUAGCUGGUCUGAGAGGACGACCAGCCACACUGGAACUGAGACACGGUCCAGACUCCUACGGGAGGCAGCAGUGGGGAAUUUUGGACAAUGGGCGCAAGCCUGAUCCAGCAAUGCCGCGUGCAGGAUGAAGGCCUUCGGGUUGUAAACUGCUUUUGUACGGAGCGAAAAGGUUCUUUCUAAUACAAGGGAUUCAUGACGGUACCGUAAGAAUAAGCACCGGCUAACUACGUGCCAGCAGCCGCGGUAAUACGUAGGGUGCGAGCGUUAAUCGGAAUUACUGGGCGUAAAGCGUGCGCAGGCGGUUUUGUAAGACAAAUGUGAAAACCCCGGGCUCAACCUGGGAACUGCAUAUGUGACUGCAAGGCUAGAGUACGGUAGAGGGGGAUGGAAUUCCGCGUGUAGCAGUGAAAUGCGUAGAUAUGCGGAGGAACACCGAUGGCGAAGGCAAUCCCCUGGACCUGUACUGACGCUCAUGCACGAAAGCGUGGGGAGCAAACAGGAUUAGAUACCCUGGUAGUCCACGCCCUAANCGAUGUCAACUGGUUGUUGGGUCUUUACUGACUCAGUAACGAAGCUAACGCGUGAAGUUGACCGCCUGGGGAGUACGGCCGCAAGGUUG